AGUGAACGCUGGCGGUAGGCCUAACACAUGCAAGUCGAACGGCAGCACAGUAAGAGCUUGCUCUUACGGGUGGCGAGUGGCGGACGGGUGAGGAAUACAUCGGAAUCUACUUUUUCGUGGGGGAUCACGUAGGGAAACUUACGCUAAUACCGCAUACGACCUACGGGUGAAAGCAGGGGAUCUUCGGACCUUGCGCGAUUGAAUGAGCCGAUGUCGGAUUAGCUAGUUGGCGGGGUAAAGGCCCACCAAGGCGACGAUCCGUAGCUGGUCUGAGAGGAUGAUCGGCCACACUGGAACGUAGACACGGUCCAGACUCCUACGGGAGGCAGCAGUGGGGAAUAUUGGACAAUGGGCGCAAGCCUGAUCCAGCCAUACCGCGUGGGUGAAGAAGGCCUUCGGGUUGUAAAGCCCUUUUGUUGGGAAAGAAAAGCAGCAGGUUAAUACCCCGCUGUUCUGACGGUACCCAAAGAAUAAGCACCGGCUAACUUCGUG
Molecule: ribosomal RNA, 492 nt
Filed under: uncultured bacterium
Lineage: Bacteria
Description: partial 16S ribosomal RNA
Rfam family: Bacterial small subunit ribosomal RNA
Source: RNAcentral